Molecule: ribosomal RNA, 253 nt
Filed under: uncultured bacterium
Lineage: Bacteria
Description: partial 16S ribosomal RNA
Rfam family: Bacterial small subunit ribosomal RNA
Source: RNAcentral
UACAGAGGGUGCAAGCGUUAAUCGGAAUUACUGGGCGUAAAGCGUGCGUAGACGGUUAUGUAAGUCGGGUGUGAAAGCCCCGGGCUCAACCUGGGAAUUGCAUUCGAGACUGUGUAGCUAGGGUACGGAAGAGGGAAGCGGAAUUUCAGGUGUAGCGGUGAAAUGCGUAGAUAUCUGGAGGAACACCGGUGGCGAAGGCGGCAUCCUGGACCGGCAUUGACGCUGAGGCGCGAAAGCCAGGGGAGCAAACGGG